RNAcentral lists this unclassified non-coding RNA (252 nucleotides) under uncultured Sordariomycetes. RNAcentral's name for it is "sequence contains 5.8S rRNA gene, ITS2, 28S rRNA gene". The stretch from base 1 to 52 matches the Rfam family "5.8S ribosomal RNA", at positions 103 to 154 of the family's 154-position model. Lineage: Eukaryota; Fungi; Ascomycota; Sordariomycetes. The record is from RNAcentral.
AACGCACAUUGCGCCCGCCGGUAUUCCGGCGGGCAUGCCUGUCCGAGCGUCAUGUCACCACUCAAGCGAAGCUUGGUGUUGGGCCUCCCUCGCCCCACGGCGGGGGGCCUCGAAGCCCCGUCAUCUUGGCGGCGGGUGUGCCCGAGCGUCGUGGAACGCAACCGCUCCGGAGCCCCGUCACGCCGCGGAUGUAAAACGAAGCCUUCUAAAGGGUUUGACCUCGGAUCAGGUAGGGAUACCCGCUGAACUUAA